Molecule: long non-coding RNA, 698 nt
Organism: Drosophila santomea
Lineage: Eukaryota; Metazoa; Arthropoda; Insecta; Diptera; Drosophilidae
Exons: 2
Source: RefSeq, a predicted model, not a curated record
AAUUGACUUCUAUUUUGGGCAAGCUUUUUAAAAGCACGACUUAUAAACACAUGAAUUCUCAAAGCAGGCGAUGAAACCAACAUCUUUUUUAAAACCAGAAUGCGAAUUAUUGUGGACCAUCUCCGCGAACCACGCUGCAGUUCUUAUCUGUACCAGCCGCUGGUGCAAAGCUGUCCAAUGCUCAAAGUUUUCAAGGUGCCCAUCAAUCCAGAUUUGAAUGCGAUGCCGCUCGGCGGUACCAUUCUUCGUACCAUGGUCCUGCGCUCUUUCUUGAAUCCGCUUUCCACUGACUGGAGGACCACGCUGUUCAUAUCGCUCGUAGAAACGGAUUCUCUGCGCCAUUUAGAGUUCCACCACUGUGGAGUUCUAGUCAGAACUUUGAUUCGAUGGAACUGCGAAAAUUUAGUGCCUUGGAGUUCCUGGACCUGAGUGGAUCCGCCUAUCUAACCAAUGAGAUAGUGGCGGAGUUUACCAGGACGCUUGGCGGACUGGGCCGGUUAAAAGUCGAGCGAUGUCCUCAUAUUUCACAACGAUUAGCCGAGAUCCUCGGAGGAAACAUCAAGCUUAAAAUAGACACAAAAUAAAAAACAACUUGUUGGCUUUUCUGUUUAUUUUUUAUAAAAUAUAAACCGAAAUGCUUGAUUUGUAAUCGACAAACUUUGCAAACUCUGUUAUAUAUGUGACAAACUGAUCAGAUC